RNA transcript from Morone saxatilis (striped sea-bass), 4471 nucleotides. It is a transcript of the gene named Krueppel-like factor 15, with no coding region annotated. The transcript has 3 exons. The record is from RefSeq and is a predicted model, not a curated record. Lineage: Eukaryota; Metazoa; Chordata; Actinopteri; Moronidae.
AUGGUAGAUAACUCCCCAGUUAGCAAGGGGACUUUUUUUCCUUACAGUGGCUCUUCACAGGCCUAUCGGCUGUCAGACAUGGUGACAGACCUGGGCUCCUACCAGGUGAUGCCAUCGCCGUUUUCAGAGGACGACCUGAGCGAGUCGUCCAGCCCUCGCUCCUGUUCCAGCCCGGAUUCCCAGGUGCUCAGCUCCAGCUAUGGCAGUAACUCUAGUGCUGAGAGCCAGGACAGCAUCCUGGAUCAACUGCUGUCCCAGACCUCUUUAGGGAGUGCCAACGGUGUGCCAACAGGGUCUGUGGCACCUAUACCAUUAUCCACUUUCCUCUGGGACUCACGGAGAGAUGAGCCCUCGAAACGUGAGCCUGUAAAGGUGGAAAAUUUUGACUUCCUCACCUGGUCCAAUGUGGAGACAGAGGAACAACUUGGAGGGUCUUUCCAGCCCACACUGGAAGAGAUAGAAGAAUUCCUGGAGGAGAAUAUGGAAGUGGUAACAAUGAAGCAGGAGAUUCGAGAAAGUUGCCCGGGCAUGGGUAUGGGACUGGAGGAGGCUCUUGGUCUUGAAGUUGGCCUGGAGUGGUGCAGGGAGGCCUCCCCUGAGCCUAAGCUGGAGCACACUAAGUAUUCAGACCAAACAGUCCCCACUGCCAGCACUGCUGGCUUAGCCACUGCUGCCUCCAGUGAGACCAAAACCACAUCAGUUAACCCUACACAUGAAUCCAGCACAGGGGCCAAGAAGGCAUCAGGCAACAAACCUUCAUCAGCAGACAGUGGCACAAACGGUAAUGGGAUGCCGGUCAUCCUACAGAUUCAGCCCCUUCAGAUCAAGCAGGAGCCCACAGCAGCGCCUAUUACCCCAGUGGCCCAGCCCCCACAGCCUGCCUCAGCCUCAGACAUCAAAAUUGCACAGCUACUGGUCAACAUCCAAGGUCAGACCUUUGCCCUGGUGCCCCACAUCCUGCCCUCCCCUAACCUUAAUGUUUCCUCCAAGUUUGUACGCAUCGCUCCUGUCCCCAUUGCAGCCAAGCCUCUGGGCCUCGGGGAUAGCUCGGCCAGUCAGGGAUCAGGGAUUCUUGUUGGAGGUCAAAAGUUCCAGAAGAAUCCGGUGGCGGAUCUUAUCAAAAUGCACAAAUGCACUUUCCCUGGCUGCACCAAGAUGUACACCAAGAGUAGCCACCUGAAGGCCCAUCUGAGGAGGCACACGGGGGAAAAGCCUUUUGCCUGCAACUGGCAGGGCUGUGGAUGGAGGUUUUCCCGGUCGGACGAGCUGUCUCGACACCGGCGCUCCCACUCGGGUGUCAAGCCCUACCAGUGUCCAGUGUGUGAGAAGAAGUUUGCCCGCAGUGACCACCUGUCAAAACACAUCAAAGUCCACCGCUUUCCACGAAGCAGCCGGACAGUUCGCUCAGCAAACUGACUUCCUGCUCGGAUCAAUGGGAACGCUGGGGACGCUGAGAUCACUGUCAUACAGACUUAGGCCAUGGGAGCAAAGUGUGAGUGCGAACGUACAGAUUUGGCAGCUCCACCAGGCAGUCAUCAGGAUAUCCUUGUUGGAGAGCCAAGGGCUGAGCAUCUGUGGGCCAUUACGCAUAUGGCCACGUGGUUGUAUGUGUGUGUGAGAGUGUAUGUUAUUGUAAGACUUCCUCCUAACUACCGGUAAGACAGGUCCGAAACAAAGCUAGCAGUAUUCUCCAUAACUUGCUCUUACUACACCUUUUUAUAAAUGCACUUUGUGUUACAUUGUGAAAAUAUGUAAGAGGAAAUCAUGUAUAAUAAGUAUGUGUGAGGAAGUUUCCACAGCAGCGUAACUAACCUGCUGUGAACAUAACGCUCAAACUCAAGAUCAUCAAUCAAACAAUUCAUUACACUAUGAGUUAAGCAUUUAAACAUGCACAAACUAUUACUGCAUUUUGAUUUAUUAUCAUUACAGCGAACAAAUGAGGUUGGAACUAAACAGCCUUUUUAUAAUGUAGCACCAUAAAAUUGUGCCGGAUAGCUUUACACUGUGUAGUUGUCUGGGGUACUAUAGUAUCUAUAAUCAGUGUAUUACCUACAGUAUAGAUGGAGGUCAGCGUGUCCACAGUUUGGAGAAGCAGACAGGAGGAUCAGGAUCAUGGUUGAAAGAAAGAUCCAACUAGACCCAAUUUCUGUACAUUUAGGGCCUAUUAAUGUGCAGAAUCUAUGAAUACAGUAUGGGUGUGGUUUCAAAUCUUUCAAACAUUCUGAAGACGAAGAUCCAACAAUGACCAUUUGUAACGGUUUUGGAAGACCAUGACCAAUCCAUGCAUCCUAGGAAGGUCUAAUCAGAAAAAACUUAUGCGGGUCAUUUAGGCAAUUACAAACAACAUGUUUUGUCAUUUAGUUUGGAGCUGCAAACAAUUGCCCUCAAGCAGGAAACAAAGAUGCAACCAUUCAAUUCCCACUUAAGUGACAGCCUUUCUAACCACAAGGGAUCUGGCUAAAUCCAGGAAUUUUAACCUCUAAACCACACUGGAUGGCUGACCUGCACAAUGAGACAUUCGGUUAAACCAGUUACAAAAUAUUUGAGCGUUAACAAGAGUUUCAACAUUUCUUUUUAAUAACUGUGUACUCUUAGGCAGUUCUUGAAGUCUGAGUCUGUGCUUUUUCAUUUGGUUUAUAACCACAAAGAUUGUUUUUAUUCCUAAAAGUUCUCUGUGUUAACUACUUUGUUAGUUCUUCUUAGUUUAUGUCUUUUAACCUCACUUUCUCUCACUUUAACUUUCUCCUCUUUUCUCUUUUCCCACACUACUCCUACGCAGAUAUGCAACCUCUACUCUUUAGCAAUUGUCUGGAUCCACGGAGACGUCUGCAGUGUCUAUUUUCACUCUUAUUCUCUGUCUUGCUGUGUUCAGAGGCUGCCAGUGGAGGCCAUAUUCUCUCCUCCUGAAACCACACAGGAAGAGGAGAUUUCAACAGUAUACCGCUGUAAAUAGGACCUUGCUCAGACUAGCUGGGACCAGAAGUCAGCUGAGGUUUUUUCAUCACAUUGUGCACCGAUGAGCUGAUGCCAAGAGGUUUUUCCGUUGGGUACACAUACCUGGUCGGCUAAAACCAUAUAAAUUCAGUGUUGAGUUAUGUACUUUUUCCACCAAUAGACAUUCAUAUGAAUUAAUAUAGGAGGAUUUAGUAAAUAUAAGCAAAGGGAUACAAAUAUAACUAAUUUACGAUGCUGGCAAAAACUUUACACCUCAUUAUUAUUUUCUUUAUGUGUCCAAAUAAUAAUAAUCUGUGGUUGAAAACUCACUGAAACCAGUUUUUUUCAUGACAUGCAGCUAUAUAUUUUAUGGUACUUUUAUGAUUUAACUUUUUUAUGCAACCAGAACAAUGGGAUUUGCAUUUGUAUUUCUCACAGUCACACAACAUCACACCCUCAGUUUACAACUCUGCUAUCUAACGGUUGGGGGUUCAAAAAGUGUGUUAGUUGUGUUUUUAAGAAUCGACACAAUAUCCUAUUAUUACGUAUAAUUGUAUUUUUUCUUACACCACUAUUCAUAUCCAAACUGGCUGAGUAGAUUGCAAUAAUUAAAAUUGUGAAAUAGUGAAAUAUGAUCAAAUGGACAUACCAAAAGGAAUGACAGAUUGUCUUUCGUUGGUUCAAUAACCAAAAUAAACUAGGCUACUGUUUUAUAACACAUUAAAAUGGAUGACAGUGACUAGAAAUGAUGAUCAAAUGAACAACAUGUUGACGAUAGGCAGCCAUUACAGGUGGGUGUGAAAUAAAAGGGAAAAACCAACAUAAAGUCCAACUCAAGCUUCCAGAACAGCUUCAGUGCUCCUUGGAAUCGAUUCUCAGAGCCGGAAGAAGAACAUCACCAUUCAAAAAAUAUUCCCUCAUUCAAUGUUUUGUUGAUGAUGGUAUGGAUUUUGAGUCCAACCAUGUUACUAUACAAUAGUGUCAGGUCAAGUGAAAAGUUUGGAGAGGGUUUGUGUGUUUUGGUGCUCGGUUUUUGGACUAUUUAUGUGUUUAUUGGCUACUGAUUUUGGAUUACGGACAUCGGACUAUCUGCUGACACAUUUGGUCGACGCUGAUUUUCGGAACACGGACGGAAAGAACGGAGCUAGGCGGCUAGUUGACAAACUAGCUAGCGGGCGGCUAGGGUAACAGCAGACGCUACCUCGCGUUACCUAGCAACAUGGGUCUGAAGAAGGCUCUGACAGCCGAAGAGGGCGAUGACUGAGGAAAUUUCAGCUUUGAAACUGCAGCAGAAAUCCAUCCUGGACCUGGUGGAGGAAGUGAAGGCUCUUCGGAUCCAGAACGCCGAGAAGGACCGGCGUCUGGUGCACCUGGAGAGUGAAGUGGAGGAGCUGGAGCAGUACACCAGGGUCAAUAAUGUGAUUGUGACCAGGCUCUGUAUUAUUACCUUUAUUAUUAUUAUUACCUCUGAGUGGUCUUGAACGCAGCAUCCAGGCCAGCGUUUGUUUCACCGAAAUCCAGAGAUGGAGGGGAAAUU